GCUCAACCUUAAAAUGGAUAUUCCCGCCAGAGCAUUACGAGCUACAGCUUAAAACUCAAAGGACUUGGCGGUGCUCUAUACCCACCUAGAGGAGCCUGUUCUAUAAUCGACACUCCCCGAUAAACCUCACCAUUUCUCGCUACUACAGCCUAUAUACCACCGCCCUCAGUUCAUCUUUCAAAAGAAUAAUAAUGAACAAAAUGAUUAAAAAUAAAAAAGUCAGGUCAAGGUGUAGCAAAUGAAAUGGAAAGAAAUGGGCUACAUUUUUUAAUAAUAAAAAACACGGAAUAUUAUAUGAAAUAAAAUAUAAAGAAGGAUUUAGAAGUAAAAAGAAAAAAGAGUGUUCUUUUUAAAUUGGCAAUAGAGCACGCACACACCGCCCGUCACCCUUUUCAAAAUAUAUAAAACUUAAAUAAAUAUAUAAACUUACAAGAAAAGGUAAGU
RNAcentral lists this ribosomal RNA (444 nucleotides) under Desmognathus fuscus (dusky salamander). RNAcentral describes it as "partial 12S ribosomal RNA". Lineage: Eukaryota; Metazoa; Chordata; Amphibia; Caudata; Plethodontidae. The record is from RNAcentral.